This is a non-coding RNA of Salmo salar (Atlantic salmon), 54 nucleotides long. NCBI's taxonomy places the organism in Eukaryota, Metazoa, Chordata, Actinopteri, Salmoniformes, Salmonidae. The record is from Rfam.
UGUUUUAAAAAAUGUAAGUAGCUCUGGAUAAGAGUGUCUGCUAAAUGACUAAAA